ACCCCAGAGGCUGGAGGUGGGGCGAGUCCUGCAGUGACUACCUUCAGCAUCCAGAGUCACUGGGGUCACAGAUGGAAGUGACAGAGUUGUCUGACACUGGAAACUUAAGGUUUUCCUUCAUCUGUGAAAUCGUGGUCUGUCUGCUCCCUGUGCAGAAAGAAAGGAAGACUUUUAACCCCGGGGACACCCAGAUAUGGAACCUAUCUGACACUCUGAAGGGAAAAAAAAAUCCCAUCUGUUUCCUGCUGGAACAUCUUCUGUGGGUCCUGGAAGGCAUGCAACCCUUCCAGAGAAAGAAGCAGCAGCAUGGCUUUCCGUGGCUGAGACUGUCUGCUCACCGAGCAGCUUUGCAGUAGCUGGACACUUGGAACUCACCUGGGAGGAAGAAAGAAGAGUGUCGGAUCUGGGUCAGCUAGGUGGUCCCAGACACCACCUUACCCUAGAUCUCUUCAGCCAAGCCUAUAGGUGGCUAUCUGUGUCCGAAGCCCAUAGUGUACCUCCCUGUGUCCGUUACGCCCUCACCUAUCCCCAGUGAAGGAGGAACGGGUCUUAGAAGGAAGAAAUGGUAGAAAAGCAAAGACAAAGAAAAUGGAUAAAGGAAGACCAGACACGAUAAAAAUGGAUUUUUAAAAAAGCAUCAUGUUAGGUGAAAGAAGCCAGGCACAAACUGGAGGGACAAUAACUCCACAGAGACAGGGAGCCUCCCUUGAGUUAGAGGCUGAAGGAAUGAGUGGUAGGAACUGGGAGGUGAGAACAAAAGGAACUUCUCUUAGUGAAAUA
RNAcentral lists this long non-coding RNA (780 nucleotides) under Mus spretus (western wild mouse). RNAcentral describes it as "lncRNA (ENSMSPG00010041624.1)". Lineage: Eukaryota; Metazoa; Chordata; Mammalia; Rodentia; Muridae. The record is from RNAcentral.